GCAAGUCGAGCGGUCGGGGGGAGACCUCCGGCAGCGGCGGACGGGUGAGUAACGCGUGGGAACCUGCCCUCAGGUUCGGGACAACCGUGGGAAACUGCGGCUAAUACCGGAUGAUCCCUGUGGGGCAAAGGCCGUUUGGUCGCCUGGGGAGGGGCCCGCGUCCGAUUAGGUAGUUGGUGGGGUAAUGGCCUAUCAAGCCUGUGAUCGGUAGCCGGUCUGAGAGGAUGGUCGGCCACACCGGGACUGAGACACGGCCCGGACUCCUACGGGAGGCAGCAGUGGGGAAUCUUGGACAAUGGGCGCAAGCCUGAUCCAGCGACGCCGCGUGGGUGAGGAAGGCCUUCGGGUUGUAAAGCCCUUUUCCCGGGGACGAUGAUGACGGUACCCGGGGAAUAAGCACCGGCCAACUCCGUGCCAGCAGCCGCGGUAAGACGGAGGGUGCGAGCGUUGUUCGGAAUCACUGGGCGUAAAGGGCGCGUAGGCGGUUGCGCGUGUCGGGUGUGAAAGCCCGGGGCUCAACCCCGGAAUUGCAUCCGAGACUGCGUGGCUAGAGACCGGGAGAGGAGGGUGGAAUACCCAGUGUAGAGGUGAAAUUCGUAGAUAUUGGGUGGAACACCGGUGGCGAAA
Molecule: ribosomal RNA, 627 nt
Filed under: uncultured bacterium
Lineage: Bacteria
Description: bacterial SSU rRNA
Rfam family: Bacterial small subunit ribosomal RNA
Source: RNAcentral